GAGGAAGCAUUGAAGCUAGAGAAGGAGAAGUUGUACCAGGCCAUUGGUUAUAGUGAGAAAGGAAAAGCAGCAGAUUAUCCUAAAGAAUAUGUAGCUCAUGUUGUUAAUCUGGAUGUAUUGUCUGUGUCACUCAAUCUUCAAUCGGAGGGUGUGAGUAUUAGCCAGUUGUCCAUCAGUGAUAUUAACUGUCAGUUUCAAAACAGGCCAGCAUCCAAGAAUAUCAGGUAUGCCGU
Long non-coding RNA from Amphimedon queenslandica, 233 nucleotides. RefSeq lists it as uncharacterized. The record is from RefSeq and is a predicted model, not a curated record. The transcript is spliced from 3 exons. NCBI's taxonomy places the organism in Eukaryota, Metazoa, Porifera, Demospongiae, Haplosclerida, Niphatidae.